UCGAGAAUCUUCGGCAAUGGGCGCAAGCCUGACCGAGCGACGCCGCGUGGAGGAUGAAGGCCUUCGGGUUGUAAACUCCUGUCGAGGGGGAGGAAGGCGCAAGCUUGACCGAUCCCUGGAGGAAGCACGGGCUAAGUUCGUGCCAGCAGCCGCGGUAAGACGAACCGUGCGAACGUUAUUCGGAAUCACUGGGCUUAAAGCGCGUGUAGGCGGAUGGGGACGUCGGUCGCUGAAAGCCCCCGGCUCAACCGGGGAACGGGCGCCGAAACGCCCCGUCUGGAGGGACGUAGGGGGACCUGGAACUUCCGGUGGAGCGGUGAAAUGCGUUGAGAUCGGAAGGAACGCCCGUGGCGAAAGCGAGGUCCUGGACGUCUUCUGACGCUGAGACGCGAAAGCUAGGGGAGCGAACGGGAUUAGAUACCCGGGUAGUCC
Molecule: ribosomal RNA, 432 nt
Filed under: uncultured bacterium
Lineage: Bacteria
Description: bacterial SSU rRNA
Rfam family: Bacterial small subunit ribosomal RNA
Source: RNAcentral